Molecule: ribosomal RNA, 301 nt
Filed under: uncultured bacterium
Lineage: Bacteria
Description: partial 16S ribosomal RNA
Rfam family: Bacterial small subunit ribosomal RNA
Source: RNAcentral
CAGCAGCCGCGGUAAUACGUAGGUGGCAAGCGUUGUCCGGAUUUAUUGGGCGUAAAGCGAGCGCAGGCGGUUUCUUAAGUCUGAUGUGAAAGCCCCCGGCUCAACCGGGGAGGGUCAUUGGAAACUGGGAAACUUGAGUGCAGAAGAGGAGAGUGGAAUUCCAUGUGUAGCGGUGAAAUGCGUAGAUAUAUGGAGGAACACCAGUGGCGAAGGCGGCUCUCUGGUCUGUAACUGACGCUGAGGCUCGAAAGCGUGGGGAGCAAACAGGAUUAGAUACCCCUGUAGUCCCUGUCUCUUAUAC